UUUCCUCUUCUUUGUUGAACUAGAUUCGUCUUUUGUAUUUGACUUUGUGAUAAUUUCAUUCAUUCUAAUUGGGUCAUUUUCAAACUUGAAUCUGAAAAAUUGAAAAAAAAUAGAUAAAAAAAAUCGAUUUAGAUAGGUUUUAGCAGUACCUGAAACGUUUGAAGUCGCGAUUGAGAGCGUAGUGGUGAAGAUUUGAAAUUCAAAUUAAUUUUGUGGAGAGAAUUUAGGAGAAAUUGAAGGGUAUGGGAGAGAGGAAGGAGAUGAAGUGAAUUGUAUAAAAGGAAUAACUUCCGUUAUUUACUUAUACAAAUUCGUGGGAUCCGUCAGUAGCAAGAUAUGUGAAACUGUAGCUAUUCAAAGGAAAUAAAUGAAGCAAUAGCUGUAUUAUUUAUUUUAAAUUAAUAGUUUGUCAUUAUGCACAAUUUUCCCUUAUUUCAACCCAAUUUUUUUUUUCUCUUGUUGGUACCUGCAUUGGAGACCGACCAAUUUGGAUUUGUGACGUGUAGGAAAUUGAUCAAUUUGAAUUUGUGUUGUAUAGAAUUCUAUUUGAGGAGAAACGUUUCCUAUCAUUCGAAUUAUAUACUAUACAGCUUAAAGCAUAUUCCGAUCUUAUGCAUUGCAAAUAUACAAUCUAAACUUAUGCCUUGCGAAUUAUAUACUAUACAACUUAUGAAAAAAUCUCAAACACCAUACAAUCAAGAGUCUCCAGAAGACAAGUACUAGUGAUGCAAAAUGUUCCAAUCUUUCCCCUGAAAAUUGAAUAGGAAAUUUUAUGCCAAUAAAUUAUUUGAAGAGAAUGAGUAGUUAUCUUAUUCAAGAACCACACUACUUAACAACUUCCAUUAUACUAUGUAAUGAAGAGUACUACAUUCCAGGAUUAAGUGAUAAACGUGCAAAACAAACGAAACAUUUGAAUAAUUUGUGAUAUAUUGCAAUAGACUAACUUUACAGAGGUAUGUGAGAAAUAAAAGAAACAAGGAAUGUAGGAGAUUAACAAUUUAAGAAGAAGCUUACAUGGAAAUGUUGGUUCAAUAAGCAGAAUAGAGAAUCGUUGAACCUAAUGGACAGACACGCCUCAAACAGGUCGACCCGUUGAAGUACUCCUUCUCAAAGGAGACUGCUACAAUAGCAUCCCU
Molecule: long non-coding RNA, 1136 nt
Filed under: Solanum tuberosum (potato)
Lineage: Eukaryota; Viridiplantae; Streptophyta; Magnoliopsida; Solanales; Solanaceae
Description: long non-coding RNA (STUB_LNC010208)
Source: RNAcentral